RNAcentral lists this ribosomal RNA (253 nucleotides) under uncultured bacterium. Its description in RNAcentral is "partial 16S ribosomal RNA". It matches the Rfam family "Bacterial small subunit ribosomal RNA", at positions 524 to 776 of the family's 1533-position model. The record is from RNAcentral.
UACGGGGGGGGCAAGCGUUGUUCGGAAUUACUGAGCGUAAAGGGCUCGUAGGCGGCCAACUAAGUCGGACGUGAAAUCCCUCGGCUUAACCGGGGAACUGCGUCCGAUACUGGCGGGCUUGAGUUCGGGAGAGGGAUGCGGAAUUCCAGGUGUAGCGGUGAAAUGCGCAGAUAUCGGGAGGAACACCGGUGGCGAAGGCGGUUCUCUGGGCCUUACCUGACGCUGAGGAGCGAAAGCGUGGGGAGCGAACAGG